AAAAACAAACAUUUUUUUUCUAAGUAAAAAAGGCGCAGAUUGGUGGUAGAUCAAUUGAGUUCCAGAGGGACAAUUCACUAUCGUAAGUUGUUUCUUCCGAAAUCGUUGAUGAAGAUGAUCCAGUUUCCGGUGAACUAGAAGAUGGUCCAGUUUCUGAUGAACUUUCUGAACUGUAUUCACUAUCCUUAAUUUUCUUUUCCUCUUCCUCCUCGUUGUUGCGGUUCCUUUUGCAUGCAUUUAUCAAUCUGCUUAAUUGUUCAGAUCUUUCUCUCUGCAUAACUCCUCCUCCGGAUUUCAGCUUCAAUUUUAAGCAUUCUGUUAUUCCGUUGAAAGCAUAAAGUGAUGCUGAGAACUUCCUCUCGUAAUUCAUCCUCCUCAUAGCUUCACUUAGCAUCGAUGACUCGUCUCCAUAAAUCAUCCCCUCUUCCAUUAUCUCUGAUGAAUUAAUCUCUUCAAAUGGUGAAUAGUAACAUGACGAUCCAAUUUCGUCAACAAAUUGAAAGUCAAUUGGCUCUACCUCUACAUCUCCUAUAUCAGUAUUGUUUUCUUCUUCAAUCUCUUCUUCUGAGUCUACUUUCACAAUAUUAUUAAUCUCUCCAGCAAUCGAGUUUUCAUCGCUUUUCACAGGCUGAAUUACACUAUAAUCGUUUACAGCCAAGCAUGUCUCCAAGGUGUUUGUGAAAUUGCUUACGUUAAUUGCACUCAUAUUACUGAUCAUGUUGUUUUCAGUAAUCAGAUCUUCGGGAUCCUUGAGAUACUCCAUAUACUGCAAAUCCGAAAAAUAAGCUUCUUCUUCUUUGAAUUCUUCUCCCUGUUUGUCCUGAUCAUGAAUUUCCACAGGCUCAGAAGAAUCAGAAGAAGAAGAAGAAGAAGCAGCCGCAGCAGCAGCGGCGGCUAAGGAAUUAUUUCUAGCUUUGAGCCUAUUAAUAAGAAGAUUAGUGAUUUUCGAAGGAAGAGCUGGAGUAGAAGAAGAAGAUGAAGAACAGGG
This 988-nucleotide long non-coding RNA is filed under the name Solanum tuberosum (potato). Its description in RNAcentral is "long non-coding RNA (STUB_LNC003273)". The record is from RNAcentral. Lineage: Eukaryota; Viridiplantae; Streptophyta; Magnoliopsida; Solanales; Solanaceae.